CCAGACUCCUACGGGAGGCAGCAGUGGGGGAUAUUGCACAAUGGGGGGAACCCUGAUGCAGCGACGCCGCGUGGGUGAAGAAGCGCCUCGGCGCGUAAAGCCCUGUCAGCAGGGAAGAAAAUGACGGUACCUGAAGAAGAAGCCCCGGCUAACUACGUGCCAGCAGCCGCGGUAAUACGUAGGGGGCAAGCGUUAUCCGGAUUUACUGGGUGUAAAGGGGGCGCAGACGGCGAUGCAAGCCAGGAGUGAAAGCCCGGGGCCCAACCCCCGGACUGCUUUGGGAACUGUGCUGCUGGAGUGCAGGAGAGGCAAGUGGAAUUCCUAGUGUAGCGGUGAAAUGCGUAGAUAUUAGGAGGAACACCAGUGGCGAAGGCGGCUUGCUGGACUGUAACUGACGUUGAGGCUCGAAAGCGUGGGGAGCAAACAGGAUUAGAUACCCCAGUACA
Molecule: ribosomal RNA, 446 nt
Filed under: uncultured bacterium
Lineage: Bacteria
Description: bacterial SSU rRNA
Rfam family: Bacterial small subunit ribosomal RNA
Source: RNAcentral